RNAcentral lists this ribosomal RNA (252 nucleotides) under Triticum aestivum (bread wheat). RNAcentral describes it as "partial small subunit ribosomal RNA". The record is from RNAcentral. Lineage: Eukaryota; Viridiplantae; Streptophyta; Magnoliopsida; Poales; Poaceae.
AUGAUGGUCCUAAGCUGGAACUGCCGGGGACUUGGGCAACCCCGGACAGUUCAGGAGCUCGUGUGCUUAGUGCACACGUACAAGCCUAAGCUUGUGUUCCUCUCUGAAACGCAGCAGAGCAACCAGUACGUCAAUAAACUUAGAUGGAGGCUAGGCCUCAAGCAUUGUAUUGCGCAACCUGGCAAAGGAAAAAGUGCCGGCAUUGCACUCCUGUAUGAUGAAAGUGUUGAAAUAAUAGAGCUCUCCGUUGGC